Ruminococcus sp. CAG:353 is the source of this 352-nucleotide non-coding RNA. It matches the Rfam family "transfer-messenger RNA". Rfam says of the family: Bacterial tmRNA, also known as 10Sa RNA or SsrA, is named for its dual tRNA and mRNA-like properties. Its role is to liberate the mRNA from a stalled ribosome. To accomplish this part of the tmRNA is used as a reading frame that ends in a translation stop signal. Lineage: Bacteria; Bacillati; Bacillota; Clostridia; Eubacteriales; Oscillospiraceae. The record is from Rfam.
GGGGAUGUAAAGGUUUCGACGGGGAUUGUGAAGCAUGAUAAGCGAGCAGAGGACUGUGCUGAUCUCUAUAACCCGCACACGUUUUAAAAUUAGACGACAACGAUAAUUUUGCUUUAGCAGCUGCGUAAGCGCUGCUCGUCUGCCCGGAAAGUACCGUGGUUCCGGCUCAGGCGUCGAUUAACGGUGAACGUCAUUCGGGAGUGCCUGCGCCCGUCUGAUGUAUCGCAGGCUACUGAGUUCAGCUGUGUGUCUGUUCACGGCUGAACGAGGGAAUGUAAAUAACAGACUACGCUCGUAGAAAGUCGUGUGGAUCGGUUUUCGGACACGGGUUCGAUUCCCGUCAUCUCCACCA